ACCCUCGAAGACGAUGUGCUGGUCUCAUACAUGCUACGAGGCCUCGGAUCUGAAUUUGACCCUCUAGUGGCGAGCAUCACUACGUGUGCAGAUGCCAUGACUGUAAGUGAUGUAUACGCUCAUAUGCUUGGUUUUGAGC
This is a small nucleolar RNA of Phragmites australis (common reed), 139 nucleotides long. RefSeq annotates it as small nucleolar RNA Z247. The record is from RefSeq and is a predicted model, not a curated record. NCBI's taxonomy places the organism in Eukaryota, Viridiplantae, Streptophyta, Magnoliopsida, Poales, Poaceae. The transcript has a single exon.